Molecule: transfer RNA, 77 nt
Filed under: Paracoccaceae bacterium
Lineage: Bacteria; Pseudomonadati; Pseudomonadota; Alphaproteobacteria; Rhodobacterales; Paracoccaceae
Description: Rhodobacteraceae bacterium tRNA-His
Rfam family: tRNA
About the family: Transfer RNA (tRNA) molecules are approximately 80 nucleotides in length.
Source: RNAcentral
GCCGACGUAGCUCAGUUGGUUAGAGCACUAGAUUGUGGAUCUAGGGGUCCCCUGUUCGAGUCAGGGCGUCGGUACCA